Molecule: ribosomal RNA, 279 nt
Filed under: uncultured bacterium
Lineage: Bacteria
Description: partial 16S ribosomal RNA
Rfam family: Bacterial small subunit ribosomal RNA
Source: RNAcentral
UGCCAGCAGCCGCGGUAAUACGGAGGGUGCAAGCGUUGUUCGGGAUCAUUGGGCGUAAAGCGCGUGUAGGCGGCUUGGCAAGUCGAUUGUGAAAGCCCGGGGCCCAACCCCGGAAUUGCAAUCGAAACUGCUUCGCUCGAGUCCCGGAGAGGAGAGCGGAAUUCCCGGUGUAGAGGUGAAAUUCGUAGAUAUCGGGAGGAACACCAGCGGCGAAGGCGGCUCUCUGGACGGUGACUGACGCUGAGACGCGAAAGCGUGGGGAGCAAACAGGAUUAGAUA